RNAcentral lists this ribosomal RNA (885 nucleotides) under uncultured bacterium. RNAcentral's name for it is "bacterial SSU rRNA". It matches the Rfam family "Bacterial small subunit ribosomal RNA", at positions 31 to 902 of the family's 1533-position model. The record is from RNAcentral.
GAACGCUGGCGGCAGGCCUAACACAUGCAAGUCGAGCGGCAGCACAGCAGUAGCAAUACUGUGGGUGGCGAGCGGCGGACGGGUGAGGAACACAUCGGAAUCUACCCUGUCGUGGGGGACAACGUAGGGAAACUUACGCUAAUACCGCAUACGACCUUUGGGUGAAAGUGGGGGACCCGCAAGGGCCUCACGCGAUUGGAUGAGCCGAUGUCCGAUUAGCUAGUUGGCGGGGUAAUGGCCCACCAAGGCGACGAUCGGUAGCUGGUCUGAGAGGACGACCAGCCACACUGGAACUGAGACACGGUCCAGACUCCUACGGGAGGCAGCAGUGGGGAAUAUUGGACAAUGGGGGCAACCCUGAUCCAGCCAUGCCGCGUGGGUGAAGAAGGCCUUCGGGUUGUAAAGCCCUUUUGUACGGGAAGAAAAGCUUCCGGUGAAUAUCCGGGAGUCAUGACGGUACCGUAAGAAUAAGCACCGGCUAACUUCGUGCCAGCAGCCGCGGUAAUACGAAGGGUGCAAGCGUUACUCGGAAUUACUGGGCGUAAAGCGUGCGUAGGUGGUGAGUUAAGUCUGAUGUGAAAUCCCCGGGCUCAACCUGGGAAUGGCAUUGGAUACUGGCUCGCUAGAGUGCGGUAGAGGGUGGUGGAAUUCCCGGUGUAGCAGUGAAAUGCGUAGAGAUCGGGAGGAACAUCUGUGGCGAAGGCGGCCACCUGGACCAACACUGACACUGAGGCACGAAAGCGUGGGGAGCAAACAGGAUUAGAUACCCUGGUAGUCCACGCCCUAAACGAUGCGAACUGGAUGUUGGGUGCAACUUGGCACUCAGUAUCGAAGCUAACGCGUUAAGUUCGCCGCCUGGGGAGUACGGUCGCAAGACUGAAACUC